Molecule: ribosomal RNA, 253 nt
Filed under: uncultured bacterium
Lineage: Bacteria
Description: partial 16S ribosomal RNA
Rfam family: Bacterial small subunit ribosomal RNA
Source: RNAcentral
UACGGAGGGUGCAAGCGUUAGUCGGAUUUACUGGGCAUAAAGGGCGCGUAGGCGGGGGGAUAAGUCAUUUGUGAAAUCCCGGAGCUCAACUCCGGAACGGCAACUGAUACUGUCUCUCUCGAGGAUAGGCGGAGAAAACGGAAUUCCACGUGUAGCGGUGAAAUGCGUAGAUAUGUGGAAGAACACCCGUGGCGAAAGCGGUUUUCUAGCUUAUUCCUGACGCUGAGGCGCGAAAGCAAGGGGAGCAAACAGG